RNAcentral lists this long non-coding RNA (692 nucleotides) under Dromaius novaehollandiae (emu). RNAcentral's name for it is "lncRNA (ENSDNVG00000016504.1)". The record is from RNAcentral. Lineage: Eukaryota; Metazoa; Chordata; Aves; Casuariiformes; Dromaiidae.
CGGAGCCGGCGUGCGUGCGCGCCGCGUCUCCCGGGAAGCCCCGGCUGACAGAUGGUCCAUCUCCCGCGCUGACAGAUGAUCUCCCCGUUUCGCUUCCCGACUCCGGCCCCGUAAUUAUAUCCGAGCUCUUUUUGCAGGAGAAGCCGGAGAGGAAAAUCAGCGCUUUCCGCUCGCUUUCUCCCUCCGCCGCGGAGCCCGGGGGGGCUCCGGUGGCAUUUGACACGCGCCGCGCUCGACGAAAUACAGAGCAGAGCCCGGUCCCCCCCCCGCCGCCGCCUCCUCCCCGAGUCACGCCGCGUGCGAUGCUCAGAGCAGGUACCUCCUGGGGUCGGAUCCUGAGGCUUCCCUUCCCUCCGCGCGGAGCUGCCGGAAAGCGCCCGAACCGAGAGGGGCAGAGCCGGCGCGGGAAAAAGGCAUUUCCGAGCGGAGAGCGGCCGGCCGAAGACUUCCAGCCKCCGCGGCGAUCCCCGGCUUAAAGCAGCCGCUGCCUCAUUAGCUGCCUCUGAGCUUAAAUUCCUGAAUUGGGGACUCGCAUCUGGGCUCGUUCGGCGGACGCUUGUCCUCUCAUCCGAAGGUGCCGACGCGGGAGCCGAGCGGCGCCGCGCUUCGCCGUAACGCCGCGGGAUGGGGCCGCGCAGGUAGGCGCCGCGCUGCGAUCCGGAGGGAACGGGCUUGGUGCUGAGGCCGCUCCG